UUCUGUUACAACACGUAAGGU
RNAcentral lists this non-coding RNA (21 nucleotides) under Caenorhabditis elegans. Lineage: Eukaryota; Metazoa; Nematoda; Chromadorea; Rhabditida; Rhabditidae. The record is from RNAcentral.